GCAAACUUGGUCAUUUAGAGGAAGUAAAAGUCGUAACAAGGUCUCCGUUGGUGAACCAGCGGAGGGAUCAUUACCGAGUUUACAACUCCCAAACCCCUGUGAACAUACCUUAUGUUGCCUCGGCGGAUCAGCCCGCGCCCGGUAAAACGGGACGGCCCGCCAGAGGACCCUAAACUCUGAUUUUAGUGUAACUUCUGAGUAAAACCAUAAAUAAAUCAAAACUUUCAACAACGGAUCUCUUGGUUCUGGCAUCGAUGAAGAACGCAGC
RNAcentral lists this unclassified non-coding RNA (268 nucleotides) under uncultured fungus. RNAcentral's name for it is "partial contains small subunit ribosomal RNA, internal transcribed spacer 1, and 5.8S ribosomal RNA". The stretch from base 1 to 73 matches the Rfam family "Eukaryotic small subunit ribosomal RNA", at positions 1759 to 1831 of the family's 1831-position model. The record is from RNAcentral. Lineage: Eukaryota; Fungi.